UUUAGGUAUAAAUUUGGUAAUUAGUGGGUGUCUCACUAAAAUGUUCUGCAGGUGUAUCACUCAACACUCAAUUUUCUCUCGGUUUUUGGGUAAGGGUGUCACUCACGAGUUCUGUAAGUGUAUCCCUCCACACAAAUACUGAGCUUCCAAAAUGCUGAGUACCUGCAAGAAAAUCACCUUAGCCACCCUUAAAGGGGGUCACCGGUGGUGCAAUGGGAGUUCGUAAUUCCCAGUCCCUGUAGACUCAUCAGAUAAAUCCGAAUCAUGGUCCACAAGUUGCCAACCACUAAGUGGCUUAUCCAAUUAAGGAUCCAGAGUUGUUUGCUCUGGGAGGUUAGACAAAGGCUUAAUUAUGGCAAAGGCCUAAGUCC
Molecule: long non-coding RNA, 371 nt
Filed under: Daucus carota (carrot)
Lineage: Eukaryota; Viridiplantae; Streptophyta; Magnoliopsida; Apiales; Apiaceae
Description: long non-coding RNA (DCAR_LNC007150)
Source: RNAcentral